RNAcentral lists this ribosomal RNA (448 nucleotides) under uncultured bacterium. Its description in RNAcentral is "bacterial SSU rRNA". It matches the Rfam family "Bacterial small subunit ribosomal RNA", at positions 917 to 1382 of the family's 1533-position model. The record is from RNAcentral.
GGGCCCGCACAAGCGGUGGAGCAUGUGGUUUAAUUCGACGGUAACCGGAAAACCUCACCAGGGCUUGAAAUGUAGCUGCAAAUUCGCUGAAAGGCGAACUUCUUCGAGAGUGCUACACAGGUGCUGCAUGGUUGUCGUCAGCUCGUGUCGUGAGAUGUCGGGUUAAGUCCUUUAACGAGCGCAACCCUCAUCUUGUGUUAAAUAUUCACAAGAGACUGCCCAGCUUAACUGGGAGGAAGGCGGGGAUGACGUCAAAUCAGCAUGGCCCUUACGCCCUGGGCAACACACGUGCUACAAUGGCCGGUACAGAAGGCUGCUAAGUCGCGAGACGGAGCUAAUCCUCAAAACCGGUCUCAGUUCGGAUUGAAGUCUGCAAUUCGACUUCAUGAAGCUGGAAUCGCUAGUAACCGUGAAUCAGCAUGUCACGGUGAAUACGUUCUCGGGCCUU